RNAcentral lists this ribosomal RNA (461 nucleotides) under uncultured bacterium. RNAcentral describes it as "bacterial SSU rRNA". It matches the Rfam family "Bacterial small subunit ribosomal RNA", at positions 28 to 487 of the family's 1533-position model. The record is from RNAcentral.
GACGAACGCUGGCGGCGUGCUUAAUACAUGCAAGUCAACUGAACUUGAGGUAGUAAUAUUUCAAGGGAGGUGGCGCACGGGUGAGUAACACGUAGGUAAUCUGCCUUUAGGUCUGACAUAAUCCCGCGAAAGCGGGACUAAAAUCAGAUGAUGCAGCGGCUCGACAUCGAGACAGUUGUUAAACCUUCGGGGCCUAAAGAAUGAGCCUGCGUCUGAUUAGGUAGUUGGCGGAGUAAAGACCCACCAAGCCUGCGAUCAGUAGCUGGUCUGAGAGGAUGAUCAGCCACACUGGAACUGAGACACGGUCCAGACUCCUACGGGAGGCAGCAGUAAGGAAUAUUGCUCAAUGGCCGAAAAGGCUGAAGCAGCAACGCCGCGUGGAGGAUGAAAUACUUUUGUAUGUAAACUCCUGUAAGAGGGGAAAAUAUCAAGCUAUGCUGUGUUGAUUGUACCCUCAGAGU